Molecule: non-coding RNA, 79 nt
Filed under: uncultured Flavonifractor sp.
Lineage: Bacteria; Bacillati; Bacillota; Clostridia; Eubacteriales; Oscillospiraceae
Description: Cyclic di-GMP-I riboswitch
Rfam family: c-di-GMP-I riboswitch aptamer
About the family: GEMM was predicted in a large-scale screen for bacterial structured RNA regulatory elements. Genes associated with GEMM are involved in a diverse array of functions, including chemotaxis regulation, signal transduction, secretion and chitin.
Source: RNAcentral
CAAAGGCAAACCGUCCGAAAGGGCGGGACGCAAAGCCAGGAGGCUACAGCGGGCGACCGCCACGCCGGUCCGGCUGCCA